GUGGCGAACUGGUGAGUAACACGUGGGAAACCUGCCCAGAAGCGGGGGAUAACACCUGGAAACAGAUGCUAAUACCGCAUAACAACUUGGACCGCAUGGUCCGAGUUUGAAAGAUGGCUUCGGCUAUCACUUUUGGAUGGUCCCGCGGCGUAUUAGCUAGAUGGUGGGGUAACGGCUCACCAUGGCAAUGAUACGUAGCCGACCUGAGAGGGUAAUCGGCCACAUUGGGACUGAGACACGGCCCAAACUCCUACGGGAGGCAAGCAGUAGGGAAUCUUCCACAAUGGACGAAAGUCUGAUGGAGCAACGCCGCGUGAGUGAAGAAGGGUUUCGGCUCGUAAAACUCUGUUGUUAAAGAAGAACAUAUCUGAGAGUAACUGUUCAGGGUAUUGACGGUAUUUAACCAGAAAGCGACGGCUAACUACGUGCCAGCAGCCGCGGUAAUACGUAGGUGGCAAGCGUUGUCCGGAUUUAUUGGGCGUAUAGCGAGCGCAGGCGGUUUUUUAAGUCUGAUGUGAAAGGCUUCGGCUCAACCGAAGAAGUGCAUCGGAAACUGGGAAACUUGAGUGCAGAAGAGGACAGUGGAACUCCAUGUGUAGCGGUGAAAUGCGUAGAUAUAUGGAAGAACACCAGUGGCGAAGGCGGCUGUCUGGUCUGUAACUGACGCUGAGGCUCGAAAGUAUGGGUAGCAAACAGGAUUAGAUACCCUGGUAGUCCAUACCGUAAACGAUGAAUGCUAAGUGUUGGAGGGUUUCCGCCCUUCAGUGCUGCAGCUAACGCAUCUAAGCAUUCCGCCUGGGGAGUACGGCCGCAAGGCUGAAACUCAAAGGAAUUGACGGGGGCCCGCACAAGCGGUGGAGCAUGUGGUUUAAUUCGAAGCUACGCGAAGAACCUUACCAGGUCUUGACAUACUAUGCAAAUCUAAGAGAUUAGACGUUCCCUUCGGGGACAUGGAUACAGGUGGUGCAUGGUUGUCGUCAGCUCGUGUCGUGAGAUGUUGGGUUAAGUCCCGCAACGAGCGCAACCCUUAUUAUCAGUUGCCAGCAUUAAGUUGGGCACUCUGGUGAGACUGCCGGUGACAAACCGGAGGAAGGUGGGGAUGACGUCAAAUCAUCAUGCCCCUUAUGACCUGGGCUACACACGUGCUACAAUGGAUGGUACAACGAGUUGCGAACUCGCGAGAGUAAGCUAAUCUCUUAAAGCCAUUCUCAGUUCGGAUUGUAGGCUGCAACUCGCCUACAUGAAGUCGGAAUCGCUAGUAAUCGCGGAUCAGCAUGCCGCGGUGAAUACGUUCCCGGGCCUUGUACACACCGCCCGUCACACCAUGAGAG
Molecule: ribosomal RNA, 1331 nt
Filed under: Lactiplantibacillus plantarum
Lineage: Bacteria; Bacillati; Bacillota; Bacilli; Lactobacillales; Lactobacillaceae
Description: bacterial SSU rRNA
Rfam family: Bacterial small subunit ribosomal RNA
Source: RNAcentral